Molecule: ribosomal RNA, 119 nt
Filed under: Lepisosteus oculatus (spotted gar)
Lineage: Eukaryota; Metazoa; Chordata; Actinopteri; Semionotiformes; Lepisosteidae
Source: RNAcentral
GCCAGCGGCUAUGUCACCCUGCAACUUACAAUUGGCAACCCACUGAAGCUAAGCAAGUGUGAGCCUGGUCAGUACCUGGAUAGGAGACCUCCUGGGAAAAACUAAGGUUGCUGCUGGUA